This 63-nucleotide transfer RNA is filed under the name Sigmella schenklingi biguttata. Its description in RNAcentral is "tRNA-His". Lineage: Eukaryota; Metazoa; Arthropoda; Insecta; Blattodea; Blattellidae. The record is from RNAcentral.
GUUUAGGUAGUUUAAUUAAAAUAUUGAUUUGUGGUAUCAAAGAUAUAAUAUUUAUCCUAGGCU